This 335-nucleotide ribosomal RNA is filed under the name Platyophrya macrostoma. Its description in RNAcentral is "partial Bacterial small subunit ribosomal RNA". It matches the Rfam family "Bacterial small subunit ribosomal RNA", at positions 343 to 695 of the family's 1533-position model. The record is from RNAcentral. Lineage: Eukaryota; Ciliophora; Colpodea; Cyrtolophosidida; Platyophryidae.
GGGAGGCAGCAGUGGGGAAUAUUGGACAAUGGGCGAAAGCCUGAUCCAGCCAUGCCGCGUGAGUGAUGAAGGCCUUAGGGUUGUAAAGCUCUUUCAGUGGGGAAGAUAAUGACGGUACCCACAGAAGAAGCCCCGGCUAACUUCGUGCCAGCAGCCGCGGUAAUACGAAGGGGGCUAGCGUUGCUCGGAAUCACUGGGCGUAAAGGGCGCGUAGGCGGACUCUUAAGUCGGAGGUGAAAGCCCAGGGCUCAACCCUGGAAUUGCCUUCGAUACUGGGAGUCUUGAGUUCGGAAGAGGUUGGUGGAACUGCGAGUGUAGAGGUGAAAUUCGUAGAU